GAUGAACGCUGACAGAAUGCUUAACACAUGCAAGUCAACUUGAAUUUGGGUUUUUAACUUAGGUUUGGGUGGCGGACGGGUGAGUAACGCGUAAAGAACUUGCCUCACAGCUAGGGACAACAUUUGGAAACGAAUGCUAAUACCUAAUAUUAUGAUAAUAGGGCAUCCUAUAAUUAUGAAAGCUAUAAGCGCUGUGAGAGAGCUUUGCGUCCCAUUAGCUAGUUGGAGAGGUGACGGCUCACCAAGGCGAUGAUGGGUAGCCGGCCUGAGAGGGUGAUCGGCCACAAGGGGACUGAGACACGGCCCUUACUCCUACGGGAGGCAGCAGUGGGGAAUAUUGGACAAUGGACCGAGAGUCUGAUCCAGCAAUUCUGUGUGCACGAUGAAGUUUUUCGGAAUGUAAAGUGCUUUCAGUUGGGAAGAAACAAAUGACGGUACCAACAGAAGAAGUGACUGCUAAAUACGUG
RNAcentral lists this ribosomal RNA (467 nucleotides) under uncultured bacterium. RNAcentral describes it as "partial 16S ribosomal RNA". It matches the Rfam family "Bacterial small subunit ribosomal RNA", at positions 28 to 507 of the family's 1533-position model. The record is from RNAcentral.